AACGAAAUGGAAAUUUCCUGCAAGAAAAGCUUUCAUAUACAAGCAUUUCAAGACCAUUCUUUCGGUUAAAGAAGAACCAGAAACACAGCUAGAGAUUUUAACUAAGGUGGAUGUUCUUAUUGCCCAACUAGGGAAAAUUAAACACUUCCUAUUGGAGAGUCUAGAGGUCUUCAGGAUGUAAUAGAUAAGAGAGCAGAGUCUUCUUUACAAAAGCUUUUUUUUUUCUCUGCAGCGGACCAGAGUAAGGCGAUUAUUUCAGGUACUAAAGCCCAAAGAUUCUGGCUGGACACCUUAGAGAAAGAUUUUCUUUGUGAAUCUAAGAAAGAUCCUGUUGAACAUUUGAGGAAUAUCAGGAAGGCUGUGGAUUUUCUGUCCGACUCUUCAUCAG
This is a non-coding RNA of Pelobates cultripes (western spadefoot toad), 388 nucleotides long. NCBI's taxonomy places the organism in Eukaryota, Metazoa, Chordata, Amphibia, Anura, Pelobatidae. The record is from the annotation of a GenBank genome assembly.